RNAcentral lists this ribosomal RNA (466 nucleotides) under uncultured bacterium. Its description in RNAcentral is "partial 16S ribosomal RNA". It matches the Rfam family "Bacterial small subunit ribosomal RNA", at positions 28 to 505 of the family's 1533-position model. The record is from RNAcentral.
GACGAGCGCUGGCGGCGUGCUUAACACAUGCAAGUCGAACGGAAAGGCCCUGCUUUUGUGGGGUGCUCGAGUGGCGAACGGGUGAGUAACACGUGAGUAACCUGCCCUUGACUUUGGGAUAACUUCAGGAAACUGGGGCUAAUACCGGAUAGGAGCUCCUGCUGCAUGGUGGGGGUUGGAAAGUUUCGGCGGUUGGGGAUGGACUCGCGGCUUAUCAGCUUGUUGGUGGGGUAGUGGCUUACCAAGGCUUUGACGGGUAGCCGGCCUGAGAGGGUGACCGGCCACAUUGGGACUGAGAUACGGCCCAGACUCCUACGGGAGGCAGCAGUGGGGAAUAUUGCACAAUGGGCGGAAGCCUGAUGCAGCAACGCCGCGUGCGGGAUGACGGCCUUCGGGUUGUAAACCGCUUUCGCCUGUGACGAAGCGUGAGUGACGGUAAUGGGUAAAGAAGCACCGGCUAACUACG